GGCAUGGUAGCUCAGGGGUUAGAGCACCUGGUGCAGAUGUGGGAAGGCCUGGGUUCAAAUCCCACGUGGGUCA
Russula aff. rugulosa BPL654 is the source of this 73-nucleotide non-coding RNA. NCBI's taxonomy places the organism in Eukaryota, Fungi, Basidiomycota, Agaricomycetes, Russulales, Russulaceae. The record is from the annotation of a GenBank genome assembly.